AGCAGCCAGUACCCCCUGAGACUAUGAUGACAACUUAGAAAAUCUCAUAGGCAAACAAGAAAAAUGUGGUCUGUGUCUGACUUAUGCUUUGUUUCAGAUACUGGGAAGUUUUCACUGAGCUCCUUGUCAAAUGCAGCCAAUUUGUUUUCUGGUCCUCAAUUAAAACUCAAGGAAAUAAAACCAUAUCUGGAAACCGUAGGCAUUGAAUUAACAGAUAGUGAGAGCCAAAUGAUACAGAACCAAGUUCCAGCAAACGGUAAAUACUUCAGACCUAACUAAUAGUUAGGGGGACUCCUGGGCAUGGGCUAUAUGUAUACGGUUAUAUGAGCAUAGUCACUUAACAGCUUGUUGAAAAUUAAGAGAAAAGUAAAAGCCAAUUUUUACGAACGUAUACUGUCCUCAUUGUACAAGCGCUAAAUUGGGAGAUAAUGCUUUUUGGGAGGUACUGAUAAUUAUGAGUAAACAAUUUUAAAUAUUGGACUAUCUGUAACAUGCUUAAAGUUAAAGUCAGAGAAGAUGAUGAAAAGAUUUAUGGAACAAAAAGGAGAACCCCAGAGGACAAC
This 563-nucleotide long non-coding RNA is filed under the name Rattus norvegicus (Norway rat). RNAcentral's name for it is "long non-coding RNA NONRATT031659". Lineage: Eukaryota; Metazoa; Chordata; Mammalia; Rodentia; Muridae. The record is from RNAcentral.